ACAUAACAGAGUCCUAUUGUGAAUAUGUUGAAAAACCAAGUAAUCAUGUAUCGGGAGAUAUGUUUCAACUCUACUGUCAACGUUAUACUCAUGUUCCAAGUUUUAAAA
Long non-coding RNA from Diuraphis noxia (Russian wheat aphid), 108 nucleotides. RefSeq lists it as uncharacterized. The record is from RefSeq and is a predicted model, not a curated record. NCBI's taxonomy places the organism in Eukaryota, Metazoa, Arthropoda, Insecta, Hemiptera, Aphididae.